GCUUCUAUAGUUAAGUGGCAUAAUAAGUCCUUGGUAAGGACUAGUCGCAAGUCCGAUUCUUGCUAGAAGCACCA
Molecule: transfer RNA, 74 nt
Filed under: Bacilli bacterium
Lineage: Bacteria; Bacillati; Bacillota; Bacilli
Also listed under: 1 other name
Description: tRNA-Thr
Rfam family: tRNA
About the family: Transfer RNA (tRNA) molecules are approximately 80 nucleotides in length.
Source: RNAcentral